UACGGAGGAUCCGAGCGUUAUCCGGAUUUAUUGGGUUUAAAGGGUGCGCAGGCGGAAGAUUAAGUCGGUGGUGAAAUUUUGCAGCUCAACUGUAAAAGUACCAUUGAUACUGGUUUUCUUGAGUGUGGAUGAAGUAGGCGGAAUUUGUGGUGUAGCGGUGAAAUGCAUAGAUAUCACGAGGAACUCCGAUUGCGCAGGCAGCUUACUAAACCAUAACUGACGCUCAGGCACGAAGGCGUGGGGAUCAAACAGGAUUAGAUACCCCCGUA
This 269-nucleotide ribosomal RNA is filed under the name uncultured prokaryote. RNAcentral describes it as "partial 16S ribosomal RNA". It matches the Rfam family "Bacterial small subunit ribosomal RNA", at positions 524 to 792 of the family's 1533-position model. The record is from RNAcentral.